AACGCACAUUGCGCCCUGUGGUAUUCCGCAGGGCAUGCCUGUUCGAGCGUCAUUUAACCACUCACGCCUAGCGUGGUAUUGGGGCACGCGGUCUCCGCGGCCCUCAAAAUUAGUGGCGGCGCCGGUGGGCUCUAAGCGUAGUACAUACUCCCGCUAUAGAGUUCCCCCGGUGGCUCGCCAGAACCCCCAAUUUUUACAGGUUGACCUCGGAUCAGGUAGGGAUACCCGCUGAACUUAA
Molecule: unclassified non-coding RNA, 238 nt
Filed under: Phialocephala sp.
Lineage: Eukaryota; Fungi; Ascomycota; Leotiomycetes; Helotiales; Mollisiaceae
Also listed under: 1 other name
Description: partial contains 5.8S ribosomal RNA, internal transcribed spacer 2, and large subunit ribosomal RNA
Rfam family: 5.8S ribosomal RNA (bases 1-52)
Source: RNAcentral